Molecule: ribosomal RNA, 253 nt
Filed under: uncultured bacterium
Lineage: Bacteria
Description: partial 16S ribosomal RNA
Rfam family: Bacterial small subunit ribosomal RNA
Source: RNAcentral
UACGAAGGGGGCUAGCGUUGCUCGGAAUUACUGGGCGUAAAGGGCGCGUAGGCGGCACUGUUAGUCAGGCGUGAAAGUCCUGGGCUCAACCUGGGAACUGCGCUUGAUACGGCAGAGCUAGAGGAUGGAAGAGGGUCGCGGAAUUCCCAGUGUAGAGGUGAAAUUCGUAGAUAUUGGGAAGAACACCGGUGGCGAAGGCGGCUCACUGGCUCGUAUCUGACGCUCAGGCGCGACAGCGUGGGGAGCAAACAGG